This 77-nucleotide transfer RNA is filed under the name Pyrodictium sp. RNAcentral's name for it is "tRNA-Thr". It matches the Rfam family "tRNA". From Rfam's summary of the family: Transfer RNA (tRNA) molecules are approximately 80 nucleotides in length. Their secondary structure includes four short double-helical elements and three loops (D, anti-codon, and T loops). Further hydrogen bonds mediate the characteristic L-shaped molecular structure. tRNAs have two regions of fundamental functional importance: the anti-codon, which is responsible for specific mRNA codon recognition, and the 3' end, to which the tRNAs corresponding amino acid is attached (by aminoacyl-tRNA synthetases). tRNAs cope with the degeneracy of the genetic code in two manners: having more than one tRNA (with a specific anti-codon) for a particular amino acid; and 'wobble' base-pairing, i.e. permitting non-standard base-pairing at the 3rd anti-codon position. Lineage: Archaea; Thermoproteati; Thermoproteota; Thermoprotei; Desulfurococcales; Pyrodictiaceae. The record is from RNAcentral.
GCCGCCGUAGCUCAGCCUGGUAGAGCGCCGGCCUCGUAAGCCGGUGGUCGCGGGUUCGAAUCCCGCCGGCGGCUCCA